GCCAGAAGAGAGCAGCAGAGACUUUUACAUCUUCAUAUCUCUUCCAUUUCGCAGUUUCCCAUAUCCUCUUGAGACCCUGGUUUUCCCAUUAAAAAACCAUGUCAUCUAUACACUAUCUAAUUUGCAUGUGAAUAUUGUGUUGUGACGGCAUGUAGAAAUAAGUUUUCAGAUUUUAUUUCAGAUUUUCAUAAAAUAUUUCAUAAGAAUAUAAUUAAUUUUCCUAUUCAAAUGCUUUGUCUCCCAAAAUGUGUAAUUUAUCAUGCUUUUAGUCCUUUUGUCCUCUACAGAGUUUGUGUAUGAAAUGACCGGUUUCAUAACAGGAAGUUAUUUGCUUUGAAACCCUAAAAUUUUCCUGAGACGUUGUUUUUAUGAAAAACAAAUUAAUCAGGGAAAAAAAAAAAAAAUUUUUUUAUCCCAUUUCCAUAAGGAUGUACGUUAGGCCUACAAUUUUAUGGAUCCAUCCUCCAUUUGGUAAAAAGCCCUGAAUGUGCCCUUUACAGGACAUCCAGAUUAAACCUGUAACAUAUGAUCUCGGUUGCCUAUUGCCCUCUGAAUAAAUAAAUUGCUAAACUUUUGAACUGCACACAAGCUCACCUACUGUUAAUAUUUUGUGAAUACGAAUGCUAAUAUUGAAUAUUUUGCGACUUUUACUUCAUGGGUUUCUUUGGUACUUUCUGGUGACUCACAAAGAACAUCCGGUUUCAUUGUAAUAAGCAAGUUUGUCAUUAACCAUCUACUUACUGGUUUUAGUAAAACGAGUUCGUUAUUUGUGCUGACUUUAGAUUUCAAAUAGCUACAGGUUGGAAAAUGGGAAUUUGUGGAGCAGUCUAUUUUCGCGAAUCGGUUCUUUUGAACCGGUUCGAAAACAGCAAUUCAGUGAAACCUUGAAGUUGCAUGCCAACCGCCAUUAUUAAAAUCUACAAGAAACAGCAAUUCAGUGAUCCUUUUACGUUAUGGUGCAAUUACGUCCAUGCAUCUAUAGGAGUAAUUCGUAACAUUUUUCGUAGGGAAGUUUGUUGUAAUGUGUCCCCGUUCAUAAAAACAUUAAAGUCCUUUAGGAUAUGCGUAAAUAAAACUUUCCUACGGUCGUCGUAAACAACUUUAACAUGUUUUCAUCGUCUAAUUAAUGUGAUGUUUCGCGAUGUAAGUAAAAACAUAUAUAUAAACAACGAGAUUUUGAUUCGAGAAAAACGUAGACUGAUUCGUACCGGCUUCAAGUGAUUCGUAGAAAUGAUUCACUUCAAAACAAAAGCACGGUUCUUUCACAUCGCGGGAAUUUCUGCAUGUUGUAUGUUCUGAGUUUUGGAAACACCCACUUCACAGGAGGAUUUGAAUAUGAUGUCAUGACAUCAAAAGGAGAGCGGCACACAAGCACGGGCACAGCUGUAAUAAAUCCCUAAACAAGCAAGACAAUCAUCCCUCCUGGUAAGAAAGACGGAUUUGUUUUCGCAUAUUUGGUCGUAUUUGAGGAAUUCCUUCUCAAAGUGACAUUCGGACAGUCCUGGACAUCCGCAGCGAAACAUGACUGAACUCGGCUUUCUGAAGAUCUGUUUAAUCGGAACCGCGUUUUCCUUUCUGCUGGCUCUAUUUGGGCUGGUUGAUUCGGUCGGAGGUCUGAUGUAUCCUCAAGGACCAGACUGGGCAGACGACAGCUGGACAGAGAAGCUUCCCCCUGGGUCUUCAUCACGGACAUCUGUGGCUGCCAACAACACCAAGCGCCACGAGUCGAGGUGAUCUUCUCAACUGCCAUCGGUGGCAAGUCUCUAAUUGCACUAGGAGAAAUAAUCCGUGCAUUAAUGUUACUGACCUACUAAAGCCUGCUGUGGAAUUAUUUCCUGCACUACACUACUGUGAGUCAGACAUGAAGAACAUCAAAAAGGGCUGAUCAUUCUACAAGCCAUAUGAGACGUCAAUUCUUCCCACUCAUUAGACAUUUUACUUUGUUAUUCUGGUUUCUGCAAAGAACUUGUCUGACUUCAUAAGAAGAAAAGCUUGCAAGAGUAGAAAACAAUAUCUUCAGGAAAGAUUGAAAGCUUAAAAAUACUACAAACAUGCUACAUGAUAUGCUUGACUGCUAGAAUCAAAAUAUUGAAAUCCCCUUAUGGUCAAAAAUGUUUUAUGUUUUUAUUAUGUGUGUUCCUUUUUUAUAUGAAGUCUAACACAAUGUUUGCAUAGAUUUGUGUAACAUGCUGUGUUCACCAUUAAAACAAAAAACUGGCAUUAGGCAGCAAAA
Molecule: long non-coding RNA, 2233 nt
Organism: Carassius gibelio (silver crucian carp)
Lineage: Eukaryota; Metazoa; Chordata; Actinopteri; Cypriniformes; Cyprinidae
Exons: 2
Source: RefSeq, a predicted model, not a curated record